GCGAAAGUGGCGAAAUUGGUAGACGCACCAGAUUUAGGUUCUGGCGCCGAAAGGCGUGUGGGUUCGAGUCCCUCCUUUCGCACCA
This 85-nucleotide transfer RNA is filed under the name Burkholderiales bacterium. RNAcentral describes it as "tRNA-Leu". It matches the Rfam family "tRNA". Rfam says of the family: Transfer RNA (tRNA) molecules are approximately 80 nucleotides in length. Their secondary structure includes four short double-helical elements and three loops (D, anti-codon, and T loops). Further hydrogen bonds mediate the characteristic L-shaped molecular structure. tRNAs have two regions of fundamental functional importance: the anti-codon, which is responsible for specific mRNA codon recognition, and the 3' end, to which the tRNAs corresponding amino acid is attached (by aminoacyl-tRNA synthetases). tRNAs cope with the degeneracy of the genetic code in two manners: having more than one tRNA (with a specific anti-codon) for a particular amino acid; and 'wobble' base-pairing, i.e. permitting non-standard base-pairing at the 3rd anti-codon position. Lineage: Bacteria; Pseudomonadati; Pseudomonadota; Betaproteobacteria; Burkholderiales. RNAcentral also lists the same sequence under 3 other names. The record is from RNAcentral.